This is a non-coding RNA of Acanthosepion pharaonis, 113 nucleotides long. The record is from the annotation of a GenBank genome assembly. NCBI's taxonomy places the organism in Eukaryota, Metazoa, Mollusca, Cephalopoda, Sepiida, Sepiidae.
UUGCAGCCAUAUCAUGUUGAAACACCAUUUCUAAUCUGAUCAUUGAAGUUAAGCAACAUCAAACUUGGUCAGUACCUAGAUGGGUAACCACUUGGGAACACCAGUUGCUGUAA